AAUGGGCGAAAGCCUGAUGCAGCAACGCCGCGUGGAGGAUGAAGGCCUUCGGGUUGUAAACUCCUUUUCUGAGGGAAGAGUAAGGACGGUACCUCAGGAAGAAGUCUCGGCUAACUACGUGCCAGCAGCCGCGGUAAUACGUAGGAGGCGAACGUUAUCCGGAAUCACUGGGCGUAAAGCGCACGCAGGCGGUUUCGUAAGUCCGACGUGAAAGCUCCUGGCUUAACUGGGAGAUGCCGUUGGAUACUGCGGAACUUGAGGUUAGGAGGGGAAAGUGGAAUUCCCGGUGUAGUGGUGGAAUGCGUAGAUAUCGGGAGGAACUCCAGUGGCGAAAGCGACUUUCUGGCCUACACCUGACGCUGAGGUGCGAAAGCGUGGGGAGCGAA
RNAcentral lists this ribosomal RNA (386 nucleotides) under uncultured bacterium. RNAcentral's name for it is "bacterial SSU rRNA". It matches the Rfam family "Bacterial small subunit ribosomal RNA", at positions 370 to 772 of the family's 1533-position model. The record is from RNAcentral.